CUGCUGCUGAGUGUGUGCUGUCGAGCGUUUGAGCUGCAGGACACCAUCCACGCUCUGAUCGAGGAGAACAUCCACCUCCACGACCAGCUGGAGAACCUGACGAGAGCCCUGCGAGAGCUGCGGCAGCUCCUGUCCCAGCACAGCGACGAUCACACUCAUGAGCAUGAUGAGGAACUUCAGCAUCUCUGGGAGGAAUGGUCACAACACAGCAUCACACCUGCUGUUGGAACAUGCUCUCUGUGGACACGAGCUCAAUGGCUCCGCCCCCUCCAGUUAAGGACACGCCCCAUUUAUCAUCAUGGCUUUUGUAGUUCUUGCACACUUUCUUUUAUAAAGUGCAUAUGCAGAACUACAGCGUGAGUGAGUCUAUUCAAAUACAUUUGACAUCAUUCAGAGCAGGUACGGAUCAACACUGUCUGUCAAUCUUGAAGUUUGUUAUUGAGAAAAGAAAGAAAGGAGGAUAGUACAGAGUAGUUUAUCAGGUGAUAGUUUGAGGCCAGUGUGUGUGUGUUUGUUUUUUCACCCUAGAACAUUCUACAUUC
Long non-coding RNA from Sinocyclocheilus anshuiensis, 542 nucleotides. RefSeq lists it as uncharacterized. The transcript has 3 exons. Lineage: Eukaryota; Metazoa; Chordata; Actinopteri; Cypriniformes; Cyprinidae. The record is from RefSeq and is a predicted model, not a curated record.